This 404-nucleotide ribosomal RNA is filed under the name Actinomycetes bacterium. RNAcentral's name for it is "Actinobacteria bacterium partial 16S ribosomal RNA". It matches the Rfam family "Bacterial small subunit ribosomal RNA", at positions 355 to 776 of the family's 1533-position model. The record is from RNAcentral. Lineage: Bacteria; Bacillati; Actinomycetota; Actinomycetes.
UGGGGAAUAUUGGACAAUGGGCGCAAGCCUGAUCCAGCCAUGCCGCGUGAGUGAUGAAGGCCCUAGGGUUGUAAAGCUCUUUCACCGGUGAAGAUAAUGACGGUAACCGGAGAAGAAGCCCCGGCUAACUUCGUGCCAGCAGCCGCGGUAAUUCGAAGGGGGCUAGCGUUGUUCGGAUUUACUGGGCGUAAAGCGCACGUAGGCGGACUAUUAAGUCAGGGGUGAAAUCCCGGGGCUCAACCCCGGAACUGCCUUUGAUACUGGUAGUCUUGAGUUCGAGAGAGGUGAGUGGAAUUCCGAGUGUAGAGGUGAAAUUCGUAGAUAUUCGGAGGAACACCAGUGGCGAAGGCGGCUCACUGGCUCGAUACUGACGCUGAGGUGCGAAAGCGUGGGGAGCAAACAGG